ACAUCUUCUUAUCUUCUUUGUUGUUUCCCUCUGCGAAGUGCUAACGCGUUAGCUAGUGACGGGGUGAUGAUUCUUCUAACCGCGUGCGUCUUUGAGAUUUUUCUGAAUCGAUCAUUGUUCCUAUUUCUGGGUUCUCAUUGGUGUUUUUGGGAGAGUAUUAUAACCUAAUUAUCGCUUUCGACUCUGAAAUUUCUAGGGUUUGAUUUUCUAAAUUGGAUUAUGGAGGAUGCUAUCUAUGAACGAUCGGUGAUUGAGGAGAUCUAUCGAAGAUAAUCGUGGAGGAGGACGCUUUCAUAAUCGCUCGGUGAUGGUUUCGAUGGAUCGUUUUGUCUUCUCUGGGAUACAUCCUCUUCAGGUUCUUGGAGUGUAGAAGCUGCUGAGGAAUUCUAAAAGGGAGUCUGGACCAAACCUUGAGGAAGACGACGAAGUAAGGGAUUAGAUAUUUUGAUUGGAGCCACAUUCGUUUUUGUUGCAUCAGGCUCAAGGAUUGUCAAAUUUUCUCAAGGCUACCCUGAGAAAGGUUUCGGUGGACAUGAUGAUGACUUGCUUAAAGCGCAACACCAUUUAUGGUUCAAAGUUCAAACACCUAUCCUCCCACGAAAGGGAAAGGGUUUCUGAGGUUUCUUUGGUUUGCUUGCCAUGAUCUCACUUUGGUCAUUUUGAUGGUUGCUGCAGUAGCGUUUUUAGCACUUGGGAUCAAAUACAGAGGGUAUCAAAGAAGGAUGGUAUGAUGGAGGGUUCAUUGCAUUUGGAGUGAUUCUUGUCACAGCUCUCAGUGACUACAAACAGCCUCUCCAGCCUCAUAACCUGAAUGAUGAAUAGAGAAACAUACAUCUGGAGGUAUAGAUUUGCACCAAUGUGACAAGAGGUGGAAGACGAGUGAAAAUCUCAAUCUAUGACAUUGUGGUGGGUUAUGUCAUACCUCUCGACAUCGACAAUCAGUUCCUGCGGAUGGAGUGCUAAUAUUUUCAUGACUGGAGAGAGCAAAAUGGUUAACAAAGACUCUAACAAGGACCCAUUCGUAUUUUCUGGCUGUAAAGUGGCAGAUGGAAAUGGUGUUAUGUUGAUGUUUUUGGAAGCGAAUCAUUAUCAGAUCAUCUCUUUCGAUUCUGCAAUUUCAUCUUCUUUUAGGAUUGUGGAGAAUAAUACUAUUGAUCGAUUUGUGAUUGAUGAGGAAGAUAUUAAGAUCUUUCGGUUUUCUUUCUUUUUUCUCUCAGGUUGGUGAGAACCCAACAACGUCUGGCUGAGGAGAUUUUGGAAUUACUCCGGAACAGCUUAGCAUAUUGUUGUCAUAGGAUCACAAUAUGGAGGGGCUUCAAGGAUUGUCAUAUUUGCUCAGGACUACCAGAGAAAGGCAUCAGUGGAGUGGAGAUAAUGAUGAUGAUUUGCUAAAGCGCAAGACCAUAUAUGGUUUCUGGUUUCUUUCGGAUUCUUGCCAUGAUCUCUCACUUUGAUGGUUUCUUUCGGAAUCAGGUUCCUGCGGAUGGAGUGCUAAUACUUGGGAGGAUGACUGGAGAUAACAAAAUCGUGU
Camelina sativa (false flax) is the source of this 1531-nucleotide non-coding RNA. The record is from RefSeq and is a predicted model, not a curated record. NCBI's taxonomy places the organism in Eukaryota, Viridiplantae, Streptophyta, Magnoliopsida, Brassicales, Brassicaceae.